This 468-nucleotide ribosomal RNA is filed under the name uncultured bacterium. RNAcentral describes it as "partial 16S ribosomal RNA". It matches the Rfam family "Bacterial small subunit ribosomal RNA", at positions 28 to 507 of the family's 1533-position model. The record is from RNAcentral.
GACGAACGCUGGCGGCGUGCUUAACACAUGCAAGUCGAACGGAAAGGCCCUGCUUUUGUGGGGUGCUCGAGUGGCGAACGGGUGAGUAACACGUGAGUAACCUGCCCUUGACUUUGGGAUAACUUCAGGAAACUGGGGCUAAUACCGGAUAGGAGCUCCUGCUGCAUGGUGGGGGUUGGAAAGUUUCGGCGGUUGGGGAUGGACUCGCGGCUUAUCAGCUUGUUGGUGGGGUAGUGGCUUACCAAGGCUUUGACGGGUAGCCGGCCUGAGAGGGUGACCGGCCACAUUGGGACUGAGAUGCGGCCCAGACUCCUACGGGAGGCAGCAGUGGGGAAUAGUGCACAAUGGGAGGAAGCAUGAUGCAGCAACGCCGCGUGCGGGAUGACGGCCUUCGGGUUGUAAACCGCCUUCGCCUGUGACGAAGCGUGAGUGACGGUAAUGGGUAAAGAAGCACCGGCUAACUACGUG